GAUGAACGCUGGCGGCGUGCCUAAUACAUGCAAGUCGAGCGAACAGACGAGGAGCUUGCUCCUCUGACGUUAGCGGCGGACGGGUGAGUAACACGUGGAUAACCUACCUAUAAGACUGGGAUAACUUCGGGAAACCGGAGCUAAUACCGGAUAAUAUAUUGAACCGCAUGGUUCAAUAGUGAAAGACGGUUUUGCUGUCACUUAUAGAUGGAUCCGCGCCGCAUUAGCUAGUUGGUAAGGUAACGGCUUACCAAGGCAACGAUGCGUAGCCGACCUGAGAGGGUGACCGGCCCCCCUGGACUUAGGCCCCGUCCCAACCUCCUCGGGGGGGCCGCAGAGGGGAUCUUUCCGAAAGGGGCGAAACCCUGCGGGACAAACCCCCGUGGGUGAAUGAAGGUUUUCGGUUGUAAAAACCUUUUUUUUGGGAAAAAAAAAUUUGUAAGGUAACAAUCCCCGUUUUGACGGAACUUAACCAAAAACCCCGGCUAACCUCCGG
RNAcentral lists this ribosomal RNA (496 nucleotides) under uncultured bacterium. RNAcentral describes it as "partial 16S ribosomal RNA". It matches the Rfam family "Bacterial small subunit ribosomal RNA", at positions 28 to 507 of the family's 1533-position model. The record is from RNAcentral.